This 467-nucleotide ribosomal RNA is filed under the name uncultured bacterium. RNAcentral's name for it is "partial 16S ribosomal RNA". It matches the Rfam family "Bacterial small subunit ribosomal RNA", at positions 29 to 507 of the family's 1533-position model. The record is from RNAcentral.
ACGAACGCUGGCGGCGUGCUUAACACAUGCAAGUCGAACGGAAAGGCCCUGCUUUUGUGGGGUGCUCGAGUGGCGAACGGGUGAGUAACACGUGAGUAACCUGCCCUUGACUUUGGGAUAACUUCAGGAAACUGGGGCUAAUACCGGAUAGGAGCUCCUGCUGCAUGGUGGGGGUUGGAAAGUUUCGACGGUUGGGGAUGGACUCGCGGCUUAUCAGCUUGUUGGUUGGGUAGUGGCUUACCAAGGCUUUGACGGGUAGCCGGCCUGAGAGGGUGACCGGCCAAAUUGGGAAUGAGAUACGGACAAAACUCAUACGGGAGGCGGAAGUGGGGAAUAUUGAACAAUGGGCGGAAGCCUGAUGCAGCAACGACGCGUGAGGGAUGACGGCCUUCGGGUUGUAAACCGCUUUCGCCUGUGACGAAGCGUGAGUGACGGUAAUGGGUAAAGAAGAACCGGCUAACUACGUG